This 506-nucleotide ribosomal RNA is filed under the name uncultured bacterium. RNAcentral describes it as "partial 16S ribosomal RNA". It matches the Rfam family "Bacterial small subunit ribosomal RNA", at positions 30 to 523 of the family's 1533-position model. The record is from RNAcentral.
AUUGAACGCUGGCGGAAUGCUUUACACAUGCAAGUCGAACGGCAGCGGAAAGUAGCUUGCUACUUUGCCGGCGAGCGGCGGACGGGUGAGUAAUGUCUGGGAAACUGCCCGAUGGAGGGGGAUAACUACUGGAAACGGUAGCUAAUACCGCAUAACGUCGCAAGACCAAAGAGGGGGACCUUCGGGCCUCUUGCCAUCGGAUGUGCCCAGAUGGGAUUAGCUAGUAGGUGGGGUAACGGCUCACCUAGGCGACGAUCCCUAGCUGGUCUGAGAGGAUGACCAGCCACACUGGAACGCAGACACGGUCCAGACUCCUACGGGAGGCAGCAGUGGGGAAUAUUGCACAAUGGGCGCAAGCCUGAUGCAGCCAUGCCGCGUGUAUGAAGAAGGCCUUCGGGUUGUAAAGUACUUUCAGCGGGGAGGAAGGUGUUGAGGUUAAUAACCUCAGCAAUUGACGUUACCCGCAGAAGAAGCACUGGCUAACUCCGUGCCAGCCGCCGCCGUAA